GACGAACGCUGGCGGCGUGCUUAACACAUGCAAGUCGAGCGGUAAGGCCCUUUCGGGGGUACACGAGCGGCGAACGGGUGAGUAACACGUGGGUGACCUGCCCUCAGCUCUGGGAUAAGCCUGGGAACCGGGUCUAAUACUGGAUAUGACUCCAUGACGCAUGUUGUGGGGUGGAAAGCCUUGUGCGGCUGAGGAUGGGCCCGCGGCCUAUCAGCUUGUUGGUGGGGUGANGGCCUACCAAGGCGACGACGGGUAGCCGGCCUGAGAGGGCGACCGGCCACACUGGGACUGAGACACGGCCCAGACUCCUACGGGAGGCAGCAGUGGGGAAUCUUGCGC
This 339-nucleotide ribosomal RNA is filed under the name uncultured bacterium. Its description in RNAcentral is "bacterial SSU rRNA". It matches the Rfam family "Bacterial small subunit ribosomal RNA", at positions 28 to 369 of the family's 1533-position model. The record is from RNAcentral.